GUUUGAUUGUUUUAUCUGGUUAUCCAGGUCAGCAAAGGGCUAAAGUGGCAGAACUUUCGAAAUUUGGCCGCCCGGCCAAAUUGCGAAGUUCGUCUUGGUGGGUUAGAUUUUUUACUCAAUCCAGCUUAGAAGAGAAUGAAGUUGCAAUCAAGAAGUUUGAACAAGCGGCAAGCAAGAGGUCUUAUCAGCCAGCUUGCCAAAUUUUCCACCUCAAACCACUCCAUUGAAAAAUACUUAUCUUUUUCCAAACAGGUAUUAAGCAUCUGCAGCUGUGUUAAAUUAUCGUUUGCCAAUUGCCACGACAAUCCGGCAUUCCACUUGUGAAGCAUCAGACCUGAAUUAAAAAAAAAAAUUGUUUAAUGUGAACCUACAUGGUUGAUUCAGCAAUUUUGUU
This 394-nucleotide unclassified non-coding RNA is filed under the name Hevea brasiliensis (rubber tree). The record is from RNAcentral. Lineage: Eukaryota; Viridiplantae; Streptophyta; Magnoliopsida; Malpighiales; Euphorbiaceae.